UUAUAUAUAUUUAAUAACUAAAAGAUUAAUUUCUAAAAAUAUUAGUCGUUCUUAUAAUUAUAUGAUUAUAUAAUUUAUAUGAGUUAAAUAUUUUAUUGAAUUUUAAAAAUAUAAAAUUUAUACUUUAAAUUAUAAAAGUUAAAAAAAUAUUUUUUAAGUUUUUUCAAAAAAAUAUUUAUUAUAAAUUUAUAUUUUUAAAGUUUAUUAAUUUAAUUUAUUAUAUAUU
This 226-nucleotide transfer RNA is filed under the name Pneumocystis jirovecii. RNAcentral describes it as "tRNA-Pseudo(CTA)". The record is from RNAcentral. Lineage: Eukaryota; Fungi; Ascomycota; Pneumocystomycetes; Pneumocystales; Pneumocystaceae.